RNAcentral lists this ribosomal RNA (369 nucleotides) under uncultured bacterium. Its description in RNAcentral is "bacterial SSU rRNA". It matches the Rfam family "Bacterial small subunit ribosomal RNA", at positions 527 to 896 of the family's 1533-position model. The record is from RNAcentral.
GAAGGGGGCUAGCGUUGUUCGGAAUUACUGGGCGUAAAGCGCGCGCAGGCGGUUCUUCAAGUCAGAGGUGAAAGCCCAGAGCUCAACUCUGGAAUGGCCUUUGAGACUAGAGAACUAGGGUACGGGAGAGGUGAGUGGAAUUCCGAGUGUAGAGGUGAAAUUCGUAGAUAUUCGGAAGAACACCAGUGGCGAAGGCGGCUCACUGGCCCGUUACCGACGCUCAGGCGCGACAGCGUGGGGAGCAAACAGGAUUAGAUACCCUGGUAGUCCACGCCGUAAACGAUGGAUGCUAGCCGUUGGUAAGCAUGCUUAUCAGUGGCGCAGCUAACGCAUUAAGCGUCCCGCCUGGGGAGUACGGCCGCAAGGUUA